Molecule: ribosomal RNA, 398 nt
Filed under: uncultured bacterium
Lineage: Bacteria
Description: bacterial SSU rRNA
Rfam family: Bacterial small subunit ribosomal RNA
Source: RNAcentral
AUUGAACGCUGGCGGCAUGCCUUACACAUGCAAGUCGAACGGCAGCACGGGAGCAAUCCUGGUGGCGAGUGGCGAACGGGUGAGUAAUAUAUCGGAACGUGCCCAGUCGUGGGGGAUAACGUAGCGAAAGCUACGCUAAUACCGCAUACGAUCUAUGGAUGAAAGCGGGGGAUCGCAAGACCUCGCGCGAUUGGAGCGGCCGAUAUCAGAUUAGGUUGUUGGUGGGGUAAAAGCUCACCAAGCCUGCGAUCUGUAGCUGGUCUGAGAGGACGACCAGCCACACUGGAACUGAGACACGGUCCAGACUCCUACGGGAGGCAGCAGUGGGGAAUUUUGGACAAUGGGCGCAAGCCUGAUCCAGCAAUGCCGCGUGCAGGAUGAAGGCCUCGGUUGUAAAC